AGUCGUAACAAGGUUUCCGUAGGUGAACCUGCGGAAGGAUCAUUAAAGAAAUUUAAUAAUUUUGAAAAUGGAUUUUUUUGUUUUGGCAAGAGCAUGAGAGCUUUUACUGGGCAAGAAGACAAGAGAUGGAGAGUCCAGCCGGGCCUGCGCUUAAGUGCGCGGUCUUGCUAGGCUUGUAAGUUUCUUUCUUGCUAUUCCAAACGGUGAGAGAUUUCUGUGCUUUUGUUAUAGGACAAUUAAAACCGUUUCAAUACAACACACUGUGGAGUUUUCAUAUCUUUGCAACUUUUUCUUUGGGCAUUCGAGCAAUCGGGGCCCAGAGGUAACAAACACAAACAAUUUUAUCUAUUCAUUAAAUUUUUGUCAAAAACAAGAAUUUUCGUAACUGGAAAUUUUAAAAUAUUAAAAACUUUCAACAACGGAUCUCUUGGUUCUCGCAUCGAUGAAGAACGCAGCGAAAUGCGAUACGUAAUGUGAAUUGCAGAAUUCCGUGAAUCAUCGAAUCUUUGAACGCACAUUGCGCCCCUUGGUAUUCCAGGGGGCAUGCCUGUUUGAGCGUCAUUUCCUUCUCAAACAUUCUGUUUGGUAGUGAGUGAUACUCUUUGGAGUUAACUUGAAAUUGCUGGCCUUUUCAUUGGAUGUUUUUUUUCCAAAGAGAGGUUUCUCUGCGUGCUUGAGGUAUAAUGCAAGUACGGUCGUUUUAGGUUUUACCAACUGCGGCUAAUCUUUUUUUAUACUGAGCGUAUUGGAACGUUAUCGAUAAGAAGAGAGCGUCUAGGCGAAACAUGGUCUUAAAAGUUUGACCUCAAAUCAGGUAGGAGUACCCGCUGAACUUAAGCAUAUCAAUAAGCGGAGGAAA
Molecule: ribosomal RNA, 859 nt
Filed under: uncultured eukaryote
Lineage: Eukaryota
Description: eukaryotic LSU rRNA
Rfam family: 5.8S ribosomal RNA (bases 408-561)
Source: RNAcentral